Molecule: small nucleolar RNA, 92 nt
Filed under: Gossypium hirsutum (cotton)
Lineage: Eukaryota; Viridiplantae; Streptophyta; Magnoliopsida; Malvales; Malvaceae
Also listed under: 1 other name
Description: Small nucleolar RNA snoR1
Rfam family: Small nucleolar RNA snoR1
About the family: snoR1 is a member of the C/D class of snoRNA which contain the C (UGAUGA) and D (CUGA) box motifs. Most of the members of the box C/D family function in directing site-specific 2'-O-methylation of substrate RNAs.
Source: Rfam by way of RNAcentral
GGCAACGAUGAAGAGUGCUUUUUUUUAUAAUUUCUGACACCCCUUGUAUGAGAAAGCUUUUCUUUGAGCAGAGGUAGCAAACUCUCUGAUUC